Molecule: non-coding RNA, 1128 nt
Organism: Hydra vulgaris (swiftwater hydra)
Lineage: Eukaryota; Metazoa; Cnidaria; Hydrozoa; Anthoathecata; Hydridae
Source: RefSeq, a predicted model, not a curated record
ACAUUCUAAGAACUAUCUAGUAUGUUUUUUUUAACAAAGUACACAGGUGAUGUGAUAUUCUAAACAUAUAAUACCUGUAGCAUACCAUAUAUUUCUUAGUUUCUUCAAGGCAAUGUUAUAUUCUAAGGUUCUAAGCAUCAAGUGCAAAUAAUUUUUAUAACAUUAAUGAACAAUAUACAUGGGGGAUGUGACAUUCAAAAUAUUUGUUUCUUAUAGUGUGUAAUAUAUUUCCUAAUUUUAUUAAGGAAAUGUUAUAUUAUAAGUUUUUAAACUAAAAGUACAACUAAUUAGUAUGAUAUUUAUAAACAAAGUACAUGGGGGAUGUGAUAUUGUAAACAUACAGUGAUAGUUAGUGAUAUAUUUCUUAAUUAAUUUGCUGGAUGUGAUAUUUUAAGGUUCAUAGCAGAAAAUACAACUAAUUUUUAUGACAUAUAUAAACAAUAUACAUGGGGGUUGUGAUAUUUUAAGUAAUAUAAAACUGUUAGUUGACAAUAGAUUUCUUAUUUAUAUCUAAGAUUCAAAGCAGCAAAUAAGACUAACUAUGAAAUUUUUUAACAAUAUACAUUGGAAUUGUGAUAUUUUAUAUAUACAACAUAUAUAAUACUGGUAGUACAUAGGGGGUAUGACAUUCUAAACAUAUUGGUAGUUUGUGGUAUAAUUAUUAGUUACACUAAGAGAGUGUAAUAUUCUAAGCAGCAAAUUUGACUAACUAUGACUUAUAAACAAUAUACAUAGGGGAUGUGUGUCUAAACAAAAUACUAUAAUAUGCGUUAUAUUUCUUAAUUUUAUUACGAGAGGAGAUUUAUUAGGAUAGUAUUCUAAGAUGCUACUCUAAGAGAUUUAUUAUAAUAAUAUUCUUUUUUUAGGUUUCUUCUUGUUGUCCCUGGCCACUAGCAUUAUGUUUUGUUGCAUGUUAUCAGACUUGUAUGGUCACUACUUUUGAAGCCUUUCUGACUGAACAAUACCCAGCUGUUUGUCAUCAAUGCCAUCUAUAUCAUGUGAUGUAACACUGACUGCUAUCACUUUUAAAAAAAAACAGUUAGUUAAAGUCUUCUUCAAUCUGUUUCACUCAUUUAGUACGAAUCAGCAGUGAACUUAUACAGAAAUUAUCAAACAAGUUGGAAGACU